Molecule: ribosomal RNA, 305 nt
Filed under: uncultured bacterium
Lineage: Bacteria
Description: bacterial SSU rRNA
Rfam family: Bacterial small subunit ribosomal RNA
Source: RNAcentral
UCCUACGGGGGGCAGCAGUGGGGAAUAUUGCACAAUGGGGGAAACCCUGAUGCAGCGACGCCGCGUGAAGGAAGAAGUAUUUCGGUAUGUAAACUUCUAUCAGCAGGGAAGAAAAUGACGGUACCUGACUAAGAAGCCCCGGCUAACUACGUGCCAGCAGCCGCGGUAAUACGUAGGGGGCAAGCGUUAUCCGGAAUUACUGGGUGUAAAGGGAGCGUAGACGGUGAUGCAAGUCUGGAGUGAAAGGCGGGGGCCCAACCCCCGGACUGCUCUGGAGACUGUGUAACUUGAGUGCAGGCGAGGUA